RNAcentral lists this ribosomal RNA (433 nucleotides) under uncultured bacterium. RNAcentral describes it as "partial 16S ribosomal RNA". It matches the Rfam family "Bacterial small subunit ribosomal RNA", at positions 29 to 507 of the family's 1533-position model. The record is from RNAcentral.
AACGAACGCUGGCGGCAUGCCUAACACAUGCAAGUCGAACGAGACCUUCGGGUCUAGUGGCGCACGGGUGCGUAACGCGUGGGAACCUGCCCUUAGGUUCGGAAUAACUCCCCGAAAGGGGUGCUAAUACCGGCUAAUGUCUUCGGACCAAAGUUUUAUCGCCUUUGGAUGGGCCUGCGUUGGAUUAGCUGGUUGGUAGGGUAAAAGCCUACCAAGGCGACGAUCCAUAGCUGGUUUGAGAGGAUGAGCAGCCACACUGGGACUGAGACACGGCCCAGACUCCUACGGGAGGCAGCAGUGGGGAAUAUUGGACAAUGGGCGAAAGCCUGAUCCAGCAAUGCCGCGUGAGUGAUGAAGGCCUUAGGGUUGUAAAGCUCUUUUACCCGGGAUGAUAAUGACAGUACCGGGAGAAUAAGCUCCGGCUAACUCCGUG